Molecule: ribosomal RNA, 497 nt
Filed under: uncultured bacterium
Lineage: Bacteria
Description: partial 16S ribosomal RNA
Rfam family: Bacterial small subunit ribosomal RNA
Source: RNAcentral
GAUGAACGCUGGCGGCGUGCCUAAUACAUGCCAGUCGAGCGAACAGAUAAGGAGCUUGCUCCUUUGACGUUAGCGGCGGACGGGUGAGUAACACGUGGGUAACCUACCUAUAAGACUGGGAUAACUUCGGGAAACCGGAGCUAAUACCGGAUAAUAUUUCGAACCGCAUGGUUCGAUAGUGAAAGAUGGUUUUGCUAUCACUUAUAGAUGGACCCGCGCCGUAUUAGCUAGUUGGUAAGGUAACGGCUUACCAAGGCGACGAUACGUAGCCGACCUGAGAGGGUGGUCGGCCACACUGGAAGUGAGACGCGGUCCAGACUCCUACGGGAGGCAGCAGUAGGGAAUCUUCCGCAAUGGGCGAGAGCCUGACGGAGCAACGCCGCGUGAGUGAUGAAGGUCUUCGGAUCGGAAAACUCUGUUAUUAGGGAAGAACAUACGUGUAAGUAACUGUGCACGUCUUGACGGUACCUAAUCAGAAAGCCACGGCUAACUACGUG